UACGUAGGUCCCGAGCGUUGUCCGGAUUUAUUGGGCGUAUAGCGAGCGCAGGUGGUUUAUUAAGUCUGGUGUAAAAGGCAGUGGCUCAACCAUUGUAUGCAUUGGAAACUGGUAGACUUGAGUGCAGGAGAGGAGAGUGGAAUUCCAUGUGUAGCGGUGAAAUGCGUAGAUAUAUGGAGGAACACCGGUGGCGAAGGCGGCUUACUGGACUGAAACUGACGUUGAGGCUCGAAAGCGUGGGGAGCAAACAGG
RNAcentral lists this ribosomal RNA (252 nucleotides) under uncultured bacterium. RNAcentral's name for it is "partial 16S ribosomal RNA". It matches the Rfam family "Bacterial small subunit ribosomal RNA", at positions 524 to 776 of the family's 1533-position model. The record is from RNAcentral.